Molecule: long non-coding RNA, 1122 nt
Organism: Diabrotica virgifera virgifera (western corn rootworm)
Lineage: Eukaryota; Metazoa; Arthropoda; Insecta; Coleoptera; Chrysomelidae
Exons: 3
Source: RefSeq, a predicted model, not a curated record
UACUAACCCUAACAACACACAACAUUCCAGGAAUGUACUACCAAAGUUCUAUCAAUAUUUGAAUGUCCUGGACAUUUAGGGAACAUUCGGUGAACAUCUGUUUAAAUUAUUCCUGGAAUGUUACCAUAAGACAUUCUGUGAACAUACUACCAAUGUUCCUAUAUUUUAAGUUGCGAAAUAAUACAUACGUGUAAGAGAUACAACAUUACUUAUAACAUACCAGACAAACUAAGUGACAUUUUAGGCCUACAGUGCAAUAAUAUGUCAAAUUUAAAGAGUUUCCCAAGAUUAUAAACAUACAAAUGUAAUAAAAAUUAUUGUUCGCGAAUAUUCAAUUUGGAAUGCGAUUUUGUUAAUAAAAAAAAUACUUAUGCAAAACCCAAGAGAGGCAUUUAUAUUUAUUUCUUUUGCGUUCAUUUUCAAAUUCGCCGUGCAUAUAUUUUUGUGCAUGGCGCUUGAGAGGGCAUCACGUGACUAAAAACGACCAACCAACGACCUCGCUUCGGCCAUCUUGGCAUCUUCAUCUUGGCGACCUUGCCUUGCCGUGGAUUGUUUUUAGUUGUUUGUAUUAUUUGUGCUUUUUAAGAAUAUUUUUUUAAUUCGGAUACUUUUAUAAUAGCUUUAAUAGUAUUAUUAACAUAGUGCAUAAAAUGGUGUCCUGUUUUUAACGCAGUUGGAGUAGCAGAAACAAAUGUAGAUAAAAAAAUCUGCAGGAAUAACGUUUCAAUUAUGACAGAAGCUCAAAACAAAUGACUGUGAAUGAAAAGCCCUAUUAAAAGCUUUCCAGAAGAUCCUGCGAAGAAGACAUGAAGUAUAGAUCAGAUUUGUUAAUAGAGGAGUAUGUUCAAAACACUUUUUAGAAAAAGAUAUUGACAGAACUUCACUUUCAUCUGUUCGUUUGAGAGACUGUGCUGUUCCAAUAGCUUAUGUCACACAGAAUCAGCUGAGAGAAGUGGUCUACAAAAAACCAGAAAGGAAACGGAAUAUGUGGCUACGAAAAGCAAAAGAAAGGUUUACAAAGCAAAUGUGACACAUUUUUUUAUAAUAUUUAGGAAUGUCAGCAAAUUAUAUUAAAAAAUGUAUGUAAAGAUUUUUUGCAAUAAAAAUGUUUAUAUUUAUCAA